RNAcentral lists this long non-coding RNA (258 nucleotides) under Vitis vinifera (wine grape). RNAcentral describes it as "long non-coding RNA (VVIN_LNC002252)". The record is from RNAcentral. Lineage: Eukaryota; Viridiplantae; Streptophyta; Magnoliopsida; Vitales; Vitaceae.
GCAACUCCGCUAAUUCAUCUAAGUCUUAACAAAUGGCAUGUACAAAUCCUGAUUCCAUGCAUCCAAGAGACAAAACUACAUUGAUUUCUAUUCAUCACUGGAGUUUAUCUGUCAAACAUAUUUUGGAAUGGAUAAAAGGGGGGAAGUUGAUACAUUUGAUUAGCCUUAACUUUUAGCAAUUAAGACUUAUACAAAUGUUAAAUUAUGGCUCAUCAGAAAAAAAUUUGAUAAUUAAAUGGUUGAAAAUGGAAUCAACAU